This 2067-nucleotide long non-coding RNA is filed under the name Rattus norvegicus (Norway rat). Its description in RNAcentral is "long non-coding RNA NONRATT009358". Lineage: Eukaryota; Metazoa; Chordata; Mammalia; Rodentia; Muridae. The record is from RNAcentral.
CACAAACUGUAGUGUUCUGAAAUGCUACGCAAAACAUUUUAUUUUUAAGGUGAUGCUGGAAAGUGCAAUUUUAAAAUGAGGAAAAAAAGGUCUCUACUGUGUUUCUACUGGCAUUAAGGGUUGACGAUAUUGCCAUAUAUUCUUGUCAUGUUUUCUGGGUUUAUGGGGGUUUGGGUUUGGUUUGUUUGUUUGUUUGUUUGUUUUAAUAAGUCUGUUCUUAAGCCAACAUGGAAAAGACUCCCCACACCCAGAGUCCCAACACUGGAAAGCUCUGACCUGCCCUCAGUACCCUGGGCUCACCCUGUGUCUCUACUGUUAUCUGCCCCGCCCCACCCUCAAGGAGGGAUUCUGCCUCCUUCCCUGGCUCCCGGGCAGCUCUGAGGUUUGGCAUAUCUAAGAAAAGUGGAUAAUCGAAUGGAGAGGACUACUGAUGCCUUUUAUGCUUCUUCCUGGGAUUGUGUUGGGGUCUUUUUAUAUUUAAUUUUGGAUUGUCUGGGGAUGUAUUUUCUUCUCCAUGUGUUUUCAGUAGCAGAAUGCACCCGAGGGCAAGAUUUUACCUCGUUUGCCUAAGGCAUCUUUGCAUAGCUAUUUGUUCAGUACGGAACUUCAACUUUCUAAUCCUUUGUUUUUUUGGCGUGUUUUUUUUUUUUUUAAGUCUGAGUUUUUAGAGACCAAGAAUGUAUGUGACUAUAGACAAGACCUUCAAGACUUGUCAACAGGAAGUUUAGCUUCUCGCUGCCUUUCUGCGUUUCCUACAGGAUGCCUGUUGUCAUCAGGGAUGUUAGAAGCACUGUGUGUGUUUAACAGGGUUUCUCUCAGCCGCCCUGCGUUUGGUAGGCGAACAGGGGGCAUACCCAUCCAAGAGGAGGACCUGUAGGUUAAGGGUAGUUUGUAAAUAACUUCUGAUGCUUGCUCAUACACACCUUCUGUGUUGCCAAAGCUCGUGGCUUGUAGUGUAAUGCGAAACGCAGCCAUUUUAUUUCAAUGUUAUUAAAAGUGUUUGCUUUUUUGUGGGGGGGGGAGUAAAUGCACAGAGGCAGGGUUAGGGUUUUGUGCCUGUUUUAAGGCUUUUAUUUGGCAGUGAAUGUAAAAUACAGUGAAAUGAUAAUAUUGUCAUCUCUUUUAUGAAUUACAUCUUUUUAAAAGGCUUGGUCCAGGGUGUGAAGUGAGCGAUAAGGUAACAGAGGCAUGGUUGUAUUUUAUGGCAUAACAGAGUCCAUCAGAUUUUUCUUCCCUCCAGAGUUUUGCUAAUAGGCUUAACUCUUAUUUCUGGAUUAAUAGUAGGAUCAUGCCCUUAGCAAAUAAUUUUCUGUUUUUAAAUUAAGAGAUUCCCAAAUGUCUUUUCCCCCCCUUAUCUUGAUGGGAUGGAUUUUAUAUAUAAGAAAUAUUUAUUUAGCUAUUCUGUAAAAUUAUCUAGUGCCUGCUAAGGCCUUUGAGCAUCCCUCCAUCCUGUUGCGUGGCAUAAAGCAGCAGCUGUACGGUGUUCUGGGGGCUCACUCAGAAGCUGCACCCACUCGGGCCCGUGGGGAUGAGGGACCUUAUCAAAGGUAUCAGGUUCUCAUCCCUUGACUUGUGUGAGGAAAAAAGUGCUUUCCUUCCUGCCACCACGGACUGACAUGGAAGUCUUCAGAUGGAACGCUGACCCCAUGUUCUUACUGUAUUUUUCAAGUGCCUGGAAAAAAAUAUUUUCAAAAACAAUACUAGUAAUAAUAAAAGGAAAAAAUAUGCACUAACUUAACAUGGCAACUACCUUAACAACAGGCAUUGGUGGCAGCCAGUUAAGCACCAGUGGCCCUGCUGUCUGUGAUCUUACCUGUUCCUCUUGUUUCUCAACCAUUUCACACGUACACUACUGAGGUAAGUUUAUAACUUGAAAUGUGAACUUUUUUUUUUUUUAGGAAUAAGAACAAACUAAUAUAAAUGUUUUUAAACGUUUUAGAGUUUGGGUUUUAGACAUGCUACUAGUUUAGUUUUUAGCUUCAUAUUUGAAAAGCUUUUUAGAUCUCGCUUCAUUUACAUACAGUGCAUUCUUAAAAUGUAUGUGGUAAAUAAAGCUUUCUUGAAAGC